Molecule: ribosomal RNA, 448 nt
Filed under: Neisseria bacilliformis
Lineage: Bacteria; Pseudomonadati; Pseudomonadota; Betaproteobacteria; Neisseriales; Neisseriaceae
Description: bacterial SSU rRNA
Rfam family: Bacterial small subunit ribosomal RNA
Source: RNAcentral
AUUGAACGCUGGCGGCAUGCUUUACACAUGCAAGUCGGACGGCAGCACAGAGAAGCUUGCUUCUUGGGUGGCGAGUGGCGAACGGGUGAGUAACGCAUCGGAACGUACCGAGUAAUGGGGGAUAACUGUCCGAAAGGACAGCUAAUACCGCAUACGCCCUGAGGGGGAAAGCGGGGGAUCUUAGGACCUCGCGUUAUUCGAGCGGCCGAUGUCUGAUUAGCCGGUUGGCGGGGUAAAGGCCCACCAAGGCGACGAUCAGUAGCGGGUCUGAGAGGAUGAUCCGCCACACUGGGACUGAGACACGGCCCAGACUCCUACGGGAGGCAGCAGUGGGAAUUUUGGACAAUGGGCGCAAGCCUGAUCCAGCCAUGCCGCGUGUCUGAAGAAGGCCUUCGGGUUGUAAAGGACUUUUGUCAGGGAAGAAAAGGGGCAUGUUAAUACCGUGCUC